UGGCAUGCACCUCCUCUCAGCUCGUCUGGCAAGACCUUAAAUCUGGCCUUCACACUGCUGUCGCUCCCGGUGAGAUUUCCAGCGUUGACUCCAAUUAAACCGCAAGCUUCACCCCUUGUGGUGCUCCCCCGCCAAUUCCUUUAAGUUUCAAUCUUGCGAUCGUACUCCCCAGGCGGCAGGCUUAACAGCUUCCCUGCGGCACUAGAACGGCACGUGGCCGUCCAAACACCUAGCCUGCAUCGUCUACAGCUGGGACUACCCGGGUAUCUAAUCCGGUUCGCUCCCCCAGCUUUCAUCCCUCACCGUCGGGCGCGUUCUAGCAGACAGCCUUCGCCACUGGUGGUCUUCCCGGGAUUAUAGGAUUUCACCCCUACCCCGAAAAUAUCGUCUGCCUCUCUCGUCCCCUAGCCAAGCAGUAUCCCCCGCAAUCCAACGAUUAAUUCGGUGGAUCUAACAAAGGACUAACUUAGCCAGCUACGGAUGCUUUAGGCCCAAUAAACAUCCACACCACUCGGAGAGCUGGUAUUACCGCGGCGGCUGACACCAGACUUGCCCUCUCCUUAUUCCCCCAGCGUUCUAGACUGGGUAAAAGCUUCCUCAGCGGAUGGCACUCGGGAUAGCCUGUCAGCUUCGCUAUUGAAAGUUUCGCAUG
This 652-nucleotide ribosomal RNA is filed under the name uncultured archaeon. RNAcentral's name for it is "partial 16S ribosomal RNA". The record is from RNAcentral.